This 2659-nucleotide long non-coding RNA is filed under the name Sus scrofa (pig). RNAcentral's name for it is "lncRNA (ENSSSCG00040000526.1)". The record is from RNAcentral. Lineage: Eukaryota; Metazoa; Chordata; Mammalia; Artiodactyla; Suidae.
AUGUGUUAUAUGUUUUGAAGAUUUACAUUUCCUGAACCAUUGGCUGACUCUCCUGAUUGGCUCUUAUACCCCUCUUCUCUGAGAUGCCCCUUUCCUUCUGCAAGUAACCAUUUUUCCCCACUCAAUUUAACAGCUAUUUCUUGAUCCACUAAGAAUAACGCCCUUCAAAGGAGUUAAAGAUGAAGAUUAAACUGUGCCUCUUUAAGACUUUAUAAUCUGGUAGGGAAAAAUAGAAAAAACACAAGUGAUGAAACCAUCAUUAUCAGUCUGUCUGUUGAGUAACUGCUGAGUGCUCAGUGCUCUAAUCAUAAUUUUUCUUUUUAAAAAUGUAUUUAUUUAAAAAAAUUAUGGCUAUACACAUGGCAUAUGGAAAUUCCCAGGCCAGGUAUUGAAUCUGAACCACAGCUGCAAGCUGUGCCACAGAUGCAGCAACGGUAGAUCCUUUAAUCCACUAUGCCGGGGCCUGGGAUCAAACCGAAGCCUCUGCAGUGACCCACACCACUGAAGUUGGAUACUUAAGCCACUGGACCAUGGCAGGAAUUCCUUAAGUUUAAUUUUUCAUUUAAUCUUUGUAAGCUUUGCAAGAUAAUGGUAUAAUUCCCCAUUUUACAGCUUGUUGAGGAAAUUCCUUAAGGUUGUAUUGCUAGUAAGUGACAGAGUUGGGAUUCAAACCUGGGGCCACUGUCUUCCAGAGUCUGUGAACUUCUUUACUGUAUCAGGAGACAUUUUAGUGCAGACCAUAAAAAGCAGAUGCCAGAAAAGUGAUGUGAGAGUCCAAGGAAGAGCUCAAUCAGAAAGACUUUAAAAACACAUUUGAGGAGUUUCCGUUGUUGCUCAGCGGGUUAAGAACCUGACUAGUAUCCAUGAGGAUGCAGAUUUGAUCCCUGGCCUCAAUCAGGAGGUUAAGGAUCUGGUGUUGCCGCAAGGUGUGGCGUAGGUGGAAGAUGUGACUUGGAUCCGGUGUUGCUGUGGCUGUAGCAUACGUAGGAGGGCAGCCGAAGCUCCAAUUUGACCCUUAGCCUGGGAACUUCCAUAUGCUGCAGGUGUGGCCCCCUAAAAAAGGAAGGAAGGAAGAAAGGAAGGAAGAAGGAAGGAAGGAAGGAAGGAAGGAAAGAAGGAAGGAAGGAAGGAAGGGAGGGAAGAAAGAGAAAGAAAGAAGGAAGGAAAGAAAGGAAGAAAGCAAGGAAAAGAAAGAGAAAGAAAGAAAGAAAUGGGUUAAUCUUGGUUUAAUGCAACAGUUUCUAAACAUAUUUGAUCAUAGAACUCAUUUAUAUAUGUAAAUUCCGUUAAUGCCCUGUAUAACCAUUGUCCAACCAAACUCUGUACUUGCUUAGAAAGUUAGGUAUAGGCCAUCUGGUGGAGGGCUUUAACUGGUAUUUAACCUGGGUUGCUUUAUUGAGGGGUUCUGAAGAGAGGAAUCAUGCACUCAGAGUUGUAUUAUCUGCAUUGGUGUGUUGUGACUGGAGCAAGAGGGUGAACCUCAAAGUUCAUCCCUGAUUACCUACAGCCAUAACUAGUCCUGUGAUUGCUCCCCAUCUCCAGACAUGUGAAUCAUUUGAAAUCCACUUGCUUUAUUUCUAAUCAAAGGUCUAGGAGAACCAAAAUUGGUAGGAGGGGUGGUGGCUCACCCAAUAUCAAACUGAGCAACCUUUUAGAGCCAGAAAUAAUGGCCCAUUGUCCCCCUGACUUCUUCAUCAGCUUCUCUCUGUACAGAGUAUCCAGGCAGCUGCCAGCCAAGCUGCCCUUGUGACUUUCCCAGGCCUCAGAACUCUCCCUCACUCUCCUUCCAUCACCUCCCACACCAGCCCCAGAGACACAGGGCAGCCACACAGUAGAUGGAGGCAGCCGUAGGAUGUGAGUCAUGAGACGUUCUCAGGGGUGACCCAGUGGCAAGUCUGCAGUCAAGCCAGUUGCCUCUUCCCCAUUUACUUUCAUUGUGGAUGCUCAUGCCUUCAUCACAAACCCACCAGGGAAAAGUUUUUAAAGCAACUAUGUCUGUUAAUGGGCCAUGACAAAGCUGGUGCAAAGCAGUGGAUUCUUUGAACACUCCAUAAAUAUGUUCGUGUGUUAGUCACUAAUAAACACAUUAGUCACCUGCAAGGGGUAAGGCUUUGACAAUGGGAAGGCAGUGUGAAUGGUGGUUAAGAACAUGUGCCCUGGACUUACGGCUGGGUUUAAAUUUAGUCUCCAUCACUUAAAGAAUUAUCUGCAUUUAGUGGGUUAGUUACCUAACCUCCAAUGGCUUGUGUUUCUUAUCUGUAAGCAUAGAUAUAGGUAUAACAGGCAGUACCUGUUUCAUAGGGUUGUUUAAAGAAUAAAGCAUAUGAAGUGUUUAGAACAGUAUGUGGCAAAAAGGAAGUGCUUAAUAUGUGUUAGCUGUGAUUAUUUUGAUUGUGUUUAUCAUAUUAGUUUCACCAUUAUUAGACAUUGGAUAGGUGGGUGGGUGGAAAUAAAACUGAGUAAGAAAUGGUUCCCAGGAGUUCCCAUCAUGGCGCAGUGGUUAACGAAUCUGACUAGGAACCAUGAGGUUGCUGGUUUGAUCCCUGGCCUUGCUCAGUGGUGUUGCUGUAGCUGUGGUGUGGGCUGGCAGCUGUAGCUCCCAUUCAACCCCUAACCUGGGAACCUCCAUAUGCUGUGGCUGUGACCCUCAAAAAAAAAA